AACUUUGAGUGAAGAUUUUGAUUUUUGUAAUGGGAUUCUGGAGUGAAAACACAAAGAAUGUUUUAUAUCCCUGUUCCAUUUCCCUUCACCCUUCUGCUGCCUACUCCUAUUUCUCUAUUCUCCACACUCCCAAGAUGUCCCUCAUUCAGGCCCAUCCCCAAAAAUAUUGCUGAGAAUCUAGUUUGAAGUCAGGAAUGGGUGGUAGCUGCCUUCUCUUUGGGACUAAGUGGCAGCUCUCAGGUGGUCUCAUGAUCUUCACUUGGGAAAGAAUAGGAGACCUGUUAAAAUGAUGCUGCUCUUGGGGCCCCAAAUUAGAGCUUAUCAAUCCAUAGAUAUAAUCAUGUCUGUUGCCGAGGUUCCCCUAUUUGCAGUUAUUCCAUUUGGGGCACUCUGGCGAAACGUUUAAGUUUCAUACUUUAGAGAGUUUGUGAUCCAGUUAAAAUCCUGUCAUCACAUCUCCCUCCUAGCCAUUCUGAAUGUCCUGCCCACCUCAGAAUCCUAGACAAGAAUAGAAUGGUGGUUUUUGAGGCUGAAUUCAUUGAGUCUCAACUAUCUCAUUGACCUGAAAUACUGAGGAGACUCGCUGUUGCUACCAAGUUUUAGGUCCUUAACAAGCAGGUGGAAAUUUCUUACUGAAAAUUUCCUACAAUGUCCUGGUAUAGGGACUGCUUGCAUAGCCCAUUUUCUGCCUUGUGACACUUUACAUCUAGCUCAAUACUUACUGAAAAGCCCACUUUUCCCUUUCUUCUUUUAAACCUUUUCUUCCACAUAUCAGAUGCUGGUUGAUUUUUUUUUUUUUCCAUUCCAGCUUAUCCAUUAAUAAGAAAAAAAUUCAGCAGCCAGCUGAGCCUGGAUUUCUGUUGACUGAACUUUAAAGGGUUGGCUUCAGCAAAUGGCAUCUUGUGCUGCAGCAACUGACAGAGGGACAAGCAAACAACUCAUAUAUAGAAAUAGUCCUACCCCUUUAGCCAAUGAAAGAACCCUUCUCUCUCCCUUGUAGAGAGUGUGCUUGAAGCAAUCCAUAUUUUUUAUAAGAAGGGCCCUAGGAUUGUCUUCCAAGGAAGUUCCUGGCCUCCCCCUCUCCCCCCUUUUUUUUUUCUCUUAACUGCAUUAGGGAGAAAUCUUCAACUUGGUUUCCAUUUGAGGGUUUUUGUGGGAGGGGGACAGGGAUAAGAAAUUUGUCAUGUAGUUAAGUAGAUGAGAAAUAUUAAUCCAAUUUUGUUCAAGAGUUGCUUGUCCAUAUGAUUUUUAAAAGUCAGGUUUAGUUUCACAGGAACAUUUUUUUUUUUUUUUUUUGAAAUUACUUUUGGGGUAAUAUUUAAAAUGAAAGAAGUUUUGUAACCCUGUAAAAUAAUUACAUAGGGAAUAUAACAUUCCAGUGUACACAAA
Molecule: long non-coding RNA, 1389 nt
Filed under: Sarcophilus harrisii (Tasmanian devil)
Lineage: Eukaryota; Metazoa; Chordata; Mammalia; Dasyuromorphia; Dasyuridae
Description: lncRNA (ENSSHAG00000026297.1)
Source: RNAcentral